UACGGAUAAAAGUUACUCUAGGGAUAMCAGGCUGAUCUCCCCCAAGAGUUCACAUCGACGGGGAGGUUUGGCACCUCGAUGUCGGCUCAUCGCAGCCUGGGGCGGUAGUACGUCCCAAGGGUUGGGCUGUUCGCCCAUUAAAGCGGUACGUGAGCUGGGUUCAGAACGUCGAGAGACAGUUCGGUCCAUAUCCGGUGUGAGUGAUAGAGUAUUGAAAGGAGCUUUCCUUAGUACGAGAGGACCGGGAAGGACACACCACUGAUGUACCAGUUUUUGUGCCAACAGAAGACGCUGGGUAGUCAAGUGUGGAGUGGAUAACUGCUGAAAGCAUAUAAGUAGGAAGCCCACCUUAAGAUGAGUACUCUUUUUAAGGUCACGAUAAGAUUAAUCGUUUUAUAGGUAUCAGGUGUAAGGCUGGUAACAGAUUUAGCCGAGAUAUACUAACAGACCAAAAGUUUUUUCCUAAUCAAA
This 471-nucleotide ribosomal RNA is filed under the name Strombomonas acuminata. RNAcentral's name for it is "bacterial LSU rRNA". It matches the Rfam family "Bacterial large subunit ribosomal RNA", at positions 2451 to 2925 of the family's 2925-position model. The record is from RNAcentral. Lineage: Eukaryota; Euglenozoa; Euglenophyceae; Euglenales; Euglenaceae.